This 304-nucleotide ribosomal RNA is filed under the name Serratia ureilytica. RNAcentral's name for it is "bacterial SSU rRNA". It matches the Rfam family "Bacterial small subunit ribosomal RNA", at positions 1107 to 1411 of the family's 1533-position model. Lineage: Bacteria; Pseudomonadati; Pseudomonadota; Gammaproteobacteria; Enterobacterales; Yersiniaceae. RNAcentral also lists the same sequence under 2 other names. The record is from RNAcentral.
AUCCUUUGUUGCCAGCGGUUCGGCCGGGAACUCAAAGGAGACUGCCAGUGAUAAACUGGAGGAAGGUGGGGAUGACGUCAAGUCAUCAUGGCCCUUACGAGUAGGGCUACACACGUGCUACAAUGGCGUAUACAAAGAGAAGCGACCUCGCGAGAGCAAGCGGACCUCAUAAAGUACGUCGUAGUCCGGAUUGGAGUCUGCAACUCGACUCCAUGAAGUCGGAAUCGCUAGUAAUCGUAGAUCAGAAUGCUACGGUGAAUACGUUCCCGGGCCUUGUACACACCGCCCGUCACACCAUGGGAGU